AUCCAGAUGACGAGUCUUGAAUAGGACGAAACGCGCGUCCUGGAC
Molecule: non-coding RNA, 45 nt
Organism: Schistosoma mattheei
Lineage: Eukaryota; Metazoa; Platyhelminthes; Trematoda; Strigeidida; Schistosomatidae
Source: Rfam